This 253-nucleotide ribosomal RNA is filed under the name uncultured bacterium. Its description in RNAcentral is "partial 16S ribosomal RNA". It matches the Rfam family "Bacterial small subunit ribosomal RNA", at positions 524 to 776 of the family's 1533-position model. The record is from RNAcentral.
GACGGAGGAUGCAAGUGUUAUCCGGAAUCACUGGGCGUAAAGCGUCUGUAGGUGGUUUAAUAAGUCCACUGUUAAAGAUUGAAGCUUAACUUCAAAAAUGCCGUGGAAACUUUUAAACUUGAGUAUGAUAGGGGUAGAGGGAAUUUCCAGUGGAGCGGUGAAAUGCGUAGAUAUUGGAAAGACCACCAAUGGCGAAGGCACUCUACUGGGCCAUUACUGACACUGAGAGACGAAAGCUAGGGGAGCAAAUGGG